Molecule: ribosomal RNA, 253 nt
Filed under: uncultured bacterium
Lineage: Bacteria
Description: partial 16S ribosomal RNA
Rfam family: Bacterial small subunit ribosomal RNA
Source: RNAcentral
UACGAAGGGUGCAAACGUUGCUCGGAAUUAUUGGGCGUAAAGCGCACGUAGGCGGCUUCUUAAGUCAGGGGUGAAAUCCUGGAGCUCAACUCCAGAACUGCCUUUGAUACUGGGAGGCUCGAGUCCGGGAGAGGUGAGUGGAACUGCGAGUGUAGAGGUGAAAUUCGUAGAUAUUCGCAAGAACACCAGUGGCGAAGGCGGCUCACUGGCCCGGUACUGACGCUGAGGUGCGAAAGCGUGGGGAGCAAACAGG